Molecule: ribosomal RNA, 583 nt
Filed under: Trichoderma sp. MKZ-2007a
Lineage: Eukaryota; Fungi; Ascomycota; Sordariomycetes; Hypocreales; Hypocreaceae
Description: eukaryotic LSU rRNA
Rfam family: 5.8S ribosomal RNA (bases 195-348)
Source: RNAcentral
ACAACUCCCAAACCCAAUGGUGAACGUUACCAAACUGUUGCCUCGGCGGGAUCUCUGCCCCGGGUGCGUCGCAGCCCCGGACCAAGGCGCCCGCCGGAGGACCAACCAAAACUCUUAUUGUAUACCCCCUCGCGGGUUUUUUUAUAAUCUGAGCCUUCUCGGCGCCCCUCGUGGGCGUUUCGAAAAUGAAUCAAAACUUUCAACAACGGAUCUCUUGGUUCUGGCAUCGAUGAAGAACGCAGCGAAAUGCGAUAAGUAAUGUGAAUUGCAGAAUUCAGUGAAUCAUCGAAUCUUUGAACGCACAUUGCGCCCGCCAGUAUUCUGGCGGGCAUGCCUGUCCGAGCGUCAUUUCAACCCUCGAACCCCUCCGGGGGGUCGGCGUUGGGGAUCGGCCCUCCCUCUGCGGGGGCCGUCUCCGAAAUACAGUGGCGGUCUCGCCGCAGCCUCUCCUGCGCAGUAGUUUGCACACUCGCACCGGGAGCGCGGCGCGUCCACAGCCGUUAAACACCCCAACUUUCUGAAAUGUUGACCUCGGAUCAGGUAGGAAUACCCGCUGAACUUAAGCAUAUCAAUAAGCGGAGGA